RNAcentral lists this small nuclear RNA (103 nucleotides) under Macaca nemestrina (pig-tailed macaque). The record is from RNAcentral. Lineage: Eukaryota; Metazoa; Chordata; Mammalia; Primates; Cercopithecidae.
UUGCUUUGGCAGCAGAUAUACUAAAAUUGGAACCACACAGAGAAAAUUAGCAUGACCCCUGUGCAAGGAUGACAGGCACAUUUGUGAAGCGCUCCACAUUAAA